AUACUUACCUGGCAGGGGAGACACCAUGAUCACGAAGGUGGUUUUCCCAGGGUGGAGGCUCUCCAUUGCUCUCAGGGUGUGCUGACCCCUGCGAUUCCCCCAAUGCGGGAACUCGACUGAUUAAAUUUUUCUAGGAGCCCUGGUGCGCAUGGUUAAGCC
This is a small nuclear RNA of Sceloporus undulatus (fence lizard), 159 nucleotides long. RefSeq annotates it as U1 spliceosomal RNA. The record is from RefSeq and is a predicted model, not a curated record. Lineage: Eukaryota; Metazoa; Chordata; Lepidosauria; Squamata; Phrynosomatidae. The transcript has a single exon.